UACGGAGGGUGCAAGCGUUAUUCGGAUUUACUGGGCGUAAAGCGCGCGUAGGCGGUUUGGUUAGUCUGAUGUGAAAGCCCACGACUCAAUCGUGGAAGUGCAUUGGAUACUGCCAGACUGGAGUACAAGAGGGGUGAGCUGAAUUCCAGGUGUAGAGGUGAAAUUCGUAGAUAUCUGGAGGAACAACAGCGGCGAAGGCGGCUCACUGGAUUUUUACUGACGCUGAGGCGCGAAAGCGUGGGGAGCAAACGGG
This 253-nucleotide ribosomal RNA is filed under the name uncultured bacterium. RNAcentral describes it as "partial 16S ribosomal RNA". It matches the Rfam family "Bacterial small subunit ribosomal RNA", at positions 524 to 776 of the family's 1533-position model. The record is from RNAcentral.